Cyprinus carpio carpio is the source of this 1234-nucleotide long non-coding RNA. The record is from Ensembl. Lineage: Eukaryota; Metazoa; Chordata; Actinopteri; Cypriniformes; Cyprinidae.
UAAAAACGAGACUAAAUGUGGUUUACAAAAUAAAAACUAUGCUAAAAUGUCUCUUCAUUUUCGUUGACCAAAACAAGAUUAAACAAAUUGUUUUAACAUUAUUUUCGUCUUGUUUAGUCGCGUUAUUAUUAUUUAGCAGUAUUUCUGUUUCUGCGCAGACGCGACCGACAUCACUUCCUCAAGCCCCACUCGCGACAUUAUUAAGAAGAUGACAAAAAACAAAGUUAAGCGGGAUUAAUACUUUCGCCUGGCUCCGCUGACUGCAAGCACACCUUCCCAAAUGGACGAGGCUUUUAUACUUGUCACGUUCGCCAUUGUACUAUUCUUUGAAAUGACAGGGGAGCGACGAGGAUUAGUUGUCCUCUAAAACCGUCGGGAAUCACCGGUGAGAAGAAGUCAUUUGCCAGUAUGGCCAGUACAAGUCUUGUGAUGAAUGAGUUGAUGAAUUAAUCAUUUCUUUAUGUACAAACUUAAAACAAUCUUAAACUAUUGGCUGUAUUACGCAUCAAACACAAGACAACUUUAAGCAAAUAGUGUAGAAUUAAUAUCUAAAUCAAUUCUAAUUCUAUUUUAUACAAUAAAAAUAAAACGUACUUCAAAUAAGAAGCCUUGGACAAACUAUGCAAACCUUUUUUUUCCCCAAAAAAAACAUUUUCCAUUAAAAAGCACCUGAUGGAGUUUGAACUUCACAUUAAAACGCUUCUGUUUCAUACAAACUCUGGCAUAGACGUGCAUGUUCGGCUAGAAUCGCCCUGAACUCAUGCAUGUUCGGAUGCGGAAAAUUACAAAAAAUGCCGUGCACUCCGCCACGCGAAUAAUUUGUGCACACUCAAAGCGAACUUCCGGCAACACCACGAUGACGGCAUAUUUUCCGCGCUCACCCAAGCGAAAUUGCGGACGCGUCAAGUAUAAAUUAGCCUUGACACAGAGAAAGGACCGAUGGCCGGCCAGCCGGGGUUUGUCUUUGGGAGAAAAAUUAGCAGAUUAUUAUAAUUUUUUAUGUUUAUAUUUAUUUUAUUUAAAUGUAUGUGUGUGUACAGUAGGUGGCCAUCCAAAACGUCGGUUCUACCGCCGCUCGUACCGCUGCCGCGGCGUCUGCAAAGUGCAUUUGCAGCUUUUGACCGCUGCUUACGCUCGCGCAUCAAAGCACAUUUUCGCAAAUAGACGUCAGCUUUGCCUCGCUGAUGUGUUACAUUUGACUGCAGUCGGGGAAAAUGAAAGAAAAAAUAUUUAA